UCCCUGGUGGCUCAGAGGGUAAAGCGUCUGCCUGCAAUGCAGGAGACCCGGGUUUGAUCCCUGGGUUGGGAA
This is a transfer RNA of Ovis aries (sheep), 72 nucleotides long. It matches the Rfam family "tRNA". Rfam says of the family: Transfer RNA (tRNA) molecules are approximately 80 nucleotides in length. The record is from Rfam. Lineage: Eukaryota; Metazoa; Chordata; Mammalia; Artiodactyla; Bovidae.